UACGUAGGGUGCGAGCGUUAAUCGGAAUUACUGGGCGUAAAGCGUGCGCAGGUGGUUGUGUAAGUCAGAGGUGAAAUCCCCGGGCUCAACCUGGGAACUGCCUUUGAGACUGCACGGCUAGAGGAUAGCAGAGGGGGGUGGAAUUCCACGUGUAGCAGUGAAAUGCGUAGAGAUGUGGAGGAACACCGAUGGCGAAGGCAGCCCCCUGGGCUAUUACUGACACUCAUGCACGAAAGCGUGGGGAGCAAACAGGAUUAGAUACCCUGGUAGUCCACGCCCUAAACGAUGUCAACUGGAUGUUGGGAGGGUUAAACCUCUUAGUGUCGUAGCUAACGCGUGAAGUUGACCGCCUGGGGAGUACGGCCGCAAGGCUAAA
RNAcentral lists this ribosomal RNA (376 nucleotides) under uncultured bacterium. RNAcentral's name for it is "bacterial SSU rRNA". It matches the Rfam family "Bacterial small subunit ribosomal RNA", at positions 524 to 898 of the family's 1533-position model. The record is from RNAcentral.